GGAGGGGGCUAGCGUUGUUCGGAAUUACUGGGCGUAAAGCGCACGUAGGCGGCUUUGUAAGUUAGGGGUGAAAGCCCGGAGCUCAACUCCGGAAUUGCCUUUAAGACUGCAUCGCUAGAAUUGUGGAGAGGUGAGUGGAAUUCCGAGUGUAGAGGUGAAAUUCGUAGAUAUUCGGAAGAACACCAGUGGCGAAGGCGGUCUGCUGGGCAGUUUCUGACACUGAGGCGCGACAGCGUGGGGAGCAAACAGGAUUAGAUACCCUGGUAGUCCACGCCGUAAACGAUGGGUACUAGGUGCCUGGGGGAGCGACCCUCUGGGUGCCGGCGCUAACUCAGGAAGUACCCCGCCUGGGGAGUACGACCGCAAGGUUG
Molecule: ribosomal RNA, 371 nt
Filed under: uncultured bacterium
Lineage: Bacteria
Description: bacterial SSU rRNA
Rfam family: Bacterial small subunit ribosomal RNA
Source: RNAcentral